Molecule: non-coding RNA, 21 nt
Filed under: Caenorhabditis elegans
Lineage: Eukaryota; Metazoa; Nematoda; Chromadorea; Rhabditida; Rhabditidae
Source: RNAcentral
UUUAGUGCGACAGGAACUAUG